CAGAGUCACAGUGUACACUCUGUGGGGAGCCUGAAGAUUUGGAUUCUCUAACAGGGCAUGCAUUUCAAGAGCUGCAAGUGUUAUGGGCAUGUUGAGAACUUCCAGAAGCUGGAUUAAAGCAUCUCUUUUACAAUGAUAUCUAAUCUCGUCCUAAAGCUCCAAGCAAUGGCGAGUCCACCAGCUCCCCUGGUGCCCCAGAUAUGUUGUGCUGACUCUCUGCAUUGAAGAGAAUUUUAUUUUGGUAACUGAGAGGAGGAAGGAGAGAAAGAAGGAAUCGGCCAGUGAAGAAGCUGCUUCUGCACAUUCCAGAAAGAAUCAGACUAACAUGAGAGACAGGCCAGCUUCAGAUGCCUUUCACUGGACCUCCUGCACAACAAGGAGAACUAGAUUGGUGUGUGGUGAGUUGAAAACGGUAGAGAAUCCCAUGAAAUACAGGUGAGAAGAGAAAGAAGCAUCUUUCUGCAUCUGCAAUAAAAUCUAUGUCUUCCUCAACAUUUCCAGCAUUUUGUCUGUUUUCUGUAUUAGAGUCUUAGAAGACAUACUUUGUGUUUUGUAAACUGCAAUGACAGUGAAGUCCCUAGAAUGGAAAGCAGCUAUCUUGGCUAAAUUAUGUUGCCUGUUGCUAUGGAAAUGGUAGCUCAUGAAUUUUUAUGUAAGUGCUUGAGGUACAAUACUUAUGACAUUUUAUCUCAAAAACAAUGUUUAUGCUUCAUCCACCAUCAGGUUUUUGCUUUACUUUAAUGACAAUAUU
This is a non-coding RNA of Cyanistes caeruleus (blue tit), 751 nucleotides long. The record is from RefSeq and is a predicted model, not a curated record. Lineage: Eukaryota; Metazoa; Chordata; Aves; Passeriformes; Paridae.